GAAUAACAGUGGGAAACGACUGCUAAUACCGGAUGAUGACGUAAGUUCAAAUAUUUAUCGGCGAGGGACGACCCCGCGUAUGAUUAGGUAGUUGGUGUGGUAAAGGCGCACCAAGCCGACGAUCCUUAGCUGGUCUGAGAGGAUGAUCAGCCACACUGGGACUGAGACACGGCCCAGACUCCUACGGGAGGCAGCAGUGGGGAAUAUUGGACAAUGGGCGAAAGCCUGAUUCACCAAUGCCGCGUGAGGGAUGAAGGCCUUAGGGUUGUAAAGCUCUUUUACCCGGGAUGAUAAUGACAGUACCGGGAGAAUAAGCUCCGGCUAACUCCGUGCCAGCAUCCGCGGCAAUACGGAGGGAGCUAGCGUUAUUCGGAAUUACUGGG
This 383-nucleotide ribosomal RNA is filed under the name uncultured Sphingomonas sp. RNAcentral describes it as "bacterial SSU rRNA". It matches the Rfam family "Bacterial small subunit ribosomal RNA", at positions 141 to 558 of the family's 1533-position model. Lineage: Bacteria; Pseudomonadati; Pseudomonadota; Alphaproteobacteria; Sphingomonadales; Sphingomonadaceae. The record is from RNAcentral.